UUGGGCUGAGCUGAGCUGAGCUAGGCUGCAUUGAGCAGGCUGAGCUGGGCUGAGCUGGCCUGGGGUGAGCUGGGCUAGGUGGAGCUGAGCUGGGUCGAGCUGAGUUGGGCUGAGCUGGCCUGGGUUGAGGUAGGCUGAGCUGAGCUGAGCUAGGCUGGGUUGAGCUGGCUGGGCUGGUUUGCGCUGGGUCAAGCUGGGCCGAGCUGGCUGGGAUGAGCUGGGCUGAUUUGGGCUGAGCUGAGCUGAGCUAGGCUGCAUUGAGCAGGCUGAGCUGGGCUGAGCUGGCCUGGGGUGAGCUGGGCUGAGCUAAGCUGAGCUGGGCUGGUUUGGGCUGAGCUGGCUGAGCUGGGUCCUGCUGAGCUGGGCUGAGCUGACCAGGGGUGAGCUGGGCUGAGUUAGGCUGGGCUCAGCUAGGCUGGGUUGAUCUGGCAGGGCUGGUUUGCGCUGGGUCAAGCUGGGCCGAGCUGGCCUGGGUUGAGCUGGGCUGGGCUGAGCUGAGCUAGGCUGCAUUGAGCUGGCUGGGCUGGAUUGAGCUGGCUGAGCUGGCUGAGCUGGGCUGAGCUGGGCUGGGUUGAGCUGGCUGGGCUGGUUUGCGCUGGGUCGAGCUGGGCCGAGCUGGCCUGGGAUGAGCUGGGCUGGUUUGAGCUGAGCUGAGCUGAGCUGAGCUAGGCUGCAUUGAGCUGGCUGGGCUGGAUUGAGCUGGCUGAGCUGGCUGAGCUGGGCUGAGCUGGGCUGGGUUGAGCUGGCUGGGCUGGUUUGCGCUGGGUCAAGCUGGGCCGAGCUGGCCUGGGUUGAGCUGGGCUGGGCUGAGCUGAGCUAGGCGGGGUUGAGCUGGGCUGGGCUGAGCUGAGCUAGGCUGCAUUGAGCUGGCUGGGCUGGAUUGAGCUGGCUGGGCUGGCUGAGCUGGCUGAGCUGGGCUGAGCUGGCUGGGCUGAGCAGAGCUGGGUUGUGCUGAGCUGGGUUGAGCUGGGCUCAGCAGCGCUGGGUUGAGCUGAGCUGGGUUGAGCUGGGGUGAGCUGGGCUGAGCAGAGCUGGGUUGUGCUGAGCUGGGUUGAGCUGGGCUGAGCAGAGCUGGGCUGAGCUGAGCUGGGCUGAGCUGAGCUGGGUUGAGCUGGGCUGAGCUAGGCUGGGCUCAGCUAGGCUGGGUUGAGCUGAGCUGGGCUGAACUGGGCUGAGCUGGGCUGAACUGGGCUGAGCUGGGCUGAGCUGGGCUGAGCAGAGCUGGGCUGAGCAGAGCUGGGUUGUGCUGAGCUGGGUUGAGCUGGGCUGAGCUGGGCUGAGCAGAGUUGGGUUGAGCUGAGCUGGGUUCAGCUGGGCUGAGCUAGGCUGGGUUGAGCUGGGUUGAGUUGGGCUGAGCUGGGCUGGGUUGAGCGGAGCUGGGCUGAACUGGGCUGAGCUGGGCUGAGCGGAACUGGGUUGAUCUGAAUUGAGCUGGGCUGAGCCGGGCUGAGCCGGGCUGAGCUGGGCUAGGUUGAGCUUGGGUGAGCUUGCCUCAGCUGGUCUGAGCUAGGUUGGGUGGAGCUAGGCUGGAUUGAGCUGGGCUGAGCUGAGCUGAUCUGGCCUCAGCUGGGCUGAGGUAGGCUGAACUGGGCUGUGCUGGGCUGAGCUGAGCUGAGCCAGUUUGAGCUGGGUUGAGCUGGGCUGAGCUGGGCUGUGUUGAUCUUUCCUGAACUGGGCUGAGCUGGGCUGAGCUGGCCUAGCUGGAUUGAACGGGGGUAAGCUGGGCCAGGCUGGACUGGGCUGAGCUGAGCUAGGCUGAGCUGAGUUGAAUUGGGUUAAGCUGGGCUGAGAUGGGCUGAGCUGGGCUGAGCUGGGUUGAGCCAGGUCGGA
Molecule: long non-coding RNA, 1830 nt
Filed under: Sus scrofa (pig)
Lineage: Eukaryota; Metazoa; Chordata; Mammalia; Artiodactyla; Suidae
Description: lncRNA (ENSSSCG00060064241.1)
Source: RNAcentral